This 269-nucleotide long non-coding RNA is filed under the name Elaeis guineensis (African oil palm). RNAcentral's name for it is "long non-coding RNA (EGUI_LNC060796)". The record is from RNAcentral. Lineage: Eukaryota; Viridiplantae; Streptophyta; Magnoliopsida; Arecales; Arecaceae.
CUGCAUUGCCACUAUAUGCUACUAGACAUCACUGAUGGAUUGUGAGAAUCAUGAGAAUUAAUUGAUAGUCAAUAAUUCUCAAUGGGUGAGUUGAAAUUGUUCCAAUCCUUGAAAGAGGUUUCAAUAAUAUUUAUGAUGGAGAUCGUAAUAUGUCUCACUACUAGAUACAAUAGAACCUACGGAAUUGCAUACAAAAAAGAUUUUGACUUGAUCAAAUAAUUGAAUUAUGAAUUUGAUUCACGGAUGAAUCUAAUUAUCAAUUUAAUUGA